This is a long non-coding RNA of Malania oleifera, 929 nucleotides long. RefSeq lists it as uncharacterized. Lineage: Eukaryota; Viridiplantae; Streptophyta; Magnoliopsida; Santalales; Ximeniaceae. The transcript is spliced from 2 exons. The record is from RefSeq and is a predicted model, not a curated record.
UCUUCUAUUUAUAUCCUCUCAUCUCCUUCUUAUCUCUAUAUGAACUUGUCUCACUGAUAAGAAAAAGAUAAAGAAGAAGAAGAAGAAGGAAGAAAGGAGAGGUGUAAGGAGGAUCGAGGCAUUUCAAUAUUGAUCCUUAUCGUGCACCACUAGCAGCUGAAGCUGCCAGCAUGAUCUGAGCUAUCCUUCACAACAGGAAAGACUAGAUCAUGUGGCUGCUUCAUCCGUUGAUGGGAGCACGAGCACGAGCAUGGGCUUAAACCCUAAUUCGAUCUUCUUAUCCGCUUUCUGCUAUCCACCCAUUAGUGUUUGAUUCCCUGGAAACCCCAAGAAAAGGUUCUUUUGGGAUCCCUGCAGCUCGAUCGCGAUGGUGCCUUGGGGAGAUGACCCUCAUGUUCAUGUACUGUGCAUUUCAAUUUGUGUUACAUAUUUAUUAAUUCUUAAUUUGUAUUCAUGUCUUAAUCUGACUAUUUAUAUAUAUUUUUAAUUAAUUUUUUUUUUUUUUUUUUUUUUUUUUGAAGUGGGGUUUCCUCAUACACAUGAUUUACCAUUUUUAAGUUUCCAAUCAGAGAAGAGGUUAAAGUGAUGCUCUAUUCCUCUCUCUCUCUCUCUCUCUCUCUCUCUAUAUAUAUAUAUAUAUAUAUAUAUUUGAAAUUUACAUAUUUCUGGAUAUGUAAAGAUUGGGAAGCCUCAUUAUUGCAGUGAUGAUAUAUGGUAUGUUCAUGAAAGGGCAGGGUAUCGAUCUGGAAAGGAAAGUACAGACAAUGCAACCAGCUAGUCUAUGACUAUACACACUGAAGUAAAUGCAUAAAGCUGCAGAUCUGGAGAAAAUGGGAAUUUUUCUAUCUUCUGGUUUCCAUGUUUAUUUAUUUAUUUUCUUGUUGCUCCAACCCAAUUUAGGAAAUAAAGGAUUUGGCAUUUCCCUCGAA